CCUACGGGUGGCAGCAGUGAGGAAUAUUGGUCAAUGGCCGAGAGGCUGAAGCAGCCAAGUCGCGUGAGGGCUGACGGCCCUACGGGUUGUAAACCUCUUUUGUCGGGGAGCAAAGAGAGUCACGGGUGGCUCAUUGAGAGUACCCGAAGAAAAAGCAUAGGCUAACGCCGUGCCAGCAGCCGCGGUAAUUCGGAGGAUGCGAGCGUUAUCCGGAUUUAUUGGGUUUAAAGGGUGCGCAGGCGGAGGUGCAAGUCAGUGGUCAAAUUGCGGGGCUCAACCCCGUACUGCCGUUGAAACUGCAACCCUUGAGUGCGCGAGAAGUAUGCGGAAUGCGUGGUGUAGCGGUGAAAUGCACAGAUAUCACGCAGAACUCCGAUUGCGAAGGCAGCAUACCGGCGCGCAACUGACGCUCAUGCACGAAAGCGUGGGUAUCGAACAGGAGUAGAUACCCGGGUAGUC
This 459-nucleotide ribosomal RNA is filed under the name uncultured bacterium. Its description in RNAcentral is "partial 16S ribosomal RNA". It matches the Rfam family "Bacterial small subunit ribosomal RNA", at positions 338 to 795 of the family's 1533-position model. The record is from RNAcentral.